RNAcentral lists this unclassified non-coding RNA (3566 nucleotides) under Hevea brasiliensis (rubber tree). Lineage: Eukaryota; Viridiplantae; Streptophyta; Magnoliopsida; Malpighiales; Euphorbiaceae. The record is from RNAcentral.
CUCAGGAGAAGACAAGAUAUUAUAGAGUUGGAUUGCUCACAUCGUCAUUGAAUUUUAUCCAGAUGAUCUCAUUAUUAUUGUUUUUAAUGGCUUUUUUCUUUUUUAUUUAUUUUCUUGAAGGUGGACCAUCAGAGCAUUAAGGUUCUCGCCUAGAGGUGAUAUUUAUGCCUAGGGGUGGUUCAGGUUUCCUGGGCUCCAACAACCUGUUGACUAUUUUAUUCUGGAGCUGGACCACAAGGUAAUUCAUGGCGAAUUCAUUUUCUGUAUUAUGCAUUUCUGAGUAUUUACAAUUCAGAUCAAUCAAAACGAACAUAUCAGAACCCUUGUAAAGGAAGCAAUUGCAUUCGUUGGAUGGAUAGUUGCAAUCAAUGACAGUAUGAACCUCUGGCUUAAACACUAGACUAUGAGACCCCAGUUCAGGGUAUCAGCAAGUUUCAUCACAGAGAGAGUCAAUUCGCUUACUAAUUUCAGGUCGAGCCAGAGUGCAAAAUGCACAAGAAAAUUAUCUAUAAAUAUACAUUGACAUUUGAUUCAGUGACCACUGCACCAUGCCACUGACAAACAUCUUACUCUGCCUCUUAAAACAUCAAACUACAGUAAAUCACAACCUAAACGAAUAUUAAAGUUGGCCUCCAAAUAAUGUCUACCUGACUAGAGGCAGUGUAAAACUUAUAUUUGCUAUACUUCUCAGAACUCAGAAUUCGGUAUCAGAGAGAUUUCACCACGAUAACAGGAAACAAGAAAUGGUACUGAUCUGUCUGGAUUUUAAUCCAGAACCAAAAAACUAAGUAGAACUGAUCUUCGUGUUGUCCUUUCUCAUUCCAACUGUCUCUCCAUCAAUUCUAUCUAGCGACAUCCCAUUGGAAUUCAAGAAACUAGGCUGAUUUGUAGAUGCAAGCAGUCUAGCCCACAUCCUAUCUGUCAACUUCACUGUGUUUUGUGCCUCAGUCACACGUGCAAUGGGAAUAUAAGCAUGUUUGCUGUUCACUGGUCCAACUGUGAAGCCUGUGUACCCAGCCAUGGCUCCAUGAACAGCACUAUGCGCCAGAAGAGUGCAAUAGAUGUUGUCUGAUGCAUUACUUGGAAUGGCUCGUAUCAUGUAUGUGGGAUCUGCAGAGAAAAAUAAUAAUAUUUAGUCUUGCUAAAAUUCACUUUCUUGAGUAUAUGCAUUCUUGAUUUUUGUCCCUAGAAUAUUUGUCCUGCCAAGUACUACUUCAUUUUCACUAAAUAAACCUCUAUAAUCUAGCCUCAAAAUAAUCAGUAAUAUUAUUGUAAAUAUACGCUCUUUCAAAAAAAACAAUUUCUAGCAAAAGUUUUUGCACAGCCACAAAAUUCUGCUUGUUCAAAUAUAUAUCUUUCUUCCAAAUAACAUCCUAAGAUAAAUACAGGAGCUAUAGUUUGCAUAAAAAAAAAUCACCUUAGAUUAUGGAAAGGUUCUAGCAGAAAUAGAAGUUAUGAAAGGUGGCACUUCAUGAAGCAAGGUACAACGUAUAAUCCAGAAUCACAGAAUAUACCUAUAUAUUUCAUAUUUACUUGCAUCUUCCGAACAUUCAUAAAAUGAUCCUGUGACAAUGCAUAUACAAAUACUUAAAAAGGAAAAAUUAGAUAAUAAGAAAGAAAAUAGAUGCAAAGACAGGAGAAGAGUGUUGUUGCUCAAACAAAUGACACAUGCAGCAAUAGAACUUUAUUAAAUUUAGUUAUUAGGUGAAUUGUGAAAUGCAACCCAAGGGGGCUCCAUACUCUUUUAUACUCCAGCUAAAAGUAAACAAAUAAAUAACAGAAAGAUGAAGGAAGACAAAAUGCUACAUCAAAUUUCUGAACAAUAAAUGGUCCAUCAUAUUGUUAUAUUUUCUCAGCUAUUUCUGUUGAAAAUGGCCAACUUACUCAAAAUAAUAAUAAUUUUUUUUUUCACUUCUAUCCUAGUAUUUCAACUUUAACAAAAUUAAACAUGACCAUUUCCAAGUAAUAUGAUUGUGUCCAUCCCUAGGAUUUUGCCAACAAAAACCAUCAAGCAUUUCACAUGAAUUUAGCAAAAAUUAAUUCAUCCUUAUCAUAUAUAUUUUUUACCUUCAAUAAAUUCACCUUCAGGUGAUUAAAGGUUCUCAUAGGAUGAAAUCGUUCAAUUAUAACACUUAAAUUGGCCAUGGAAUCAAGGCAUAAACCAUAAUAUUUAAACUAAGGGCUUGGCCAAAAGUGGAAAAAUGUUUAAAACGUUUUGAAUUUUGAUGUAGUUUUGCCGAUUCUAAUUUAGGGGAAGAUAAUAUAGCUCAAAAUUCCUUCAUUGGCAUCAAAUUUGAGACGAAGUUAAGAGUCAACAAAUGGUUGCAUACAAAGGCUUGAGCUACACCCACUAUGUACAGCAAUGUUUAGUUUCAAUGCCCAAAAGACUCAUGAAAGGAGAGGCUAUUUUAUGACCUUAGCAGAAAUGAAAAUCAUGAAGCGAUAGAGGAGGCAAUGUGUUCCACCUUAAUGUACUGUGACAACCACAGACCAACAUCAAGAAGUAGCCUGUUUCCUGAUGCAUCUCUCUCAUCAGUUCUAUGUGUGCUCCGAGCAGCAUAUUCCUGCCCUGCUCCUUCUGCUAUCACAAUGACCAAAUGCCCAUUUUCUUUUAGCCGCUGUUCAAUAAAUUCAAAGAGCCCACCUGGGCCUUCCAGAUAGAAUGGGGAUUCUGGAAUUAAGCAACAAUCCACAUCUCUACUUGCCAAAGUUGCAUACAUAGCAAUGAAACCACUGUAUCUACCCAUCAGUUUAACUAUUCCAACUCCAUUUUCCACGCUUUCAACCUCCACAUGUGCAGCGUUUAUUGCUCUUUGAGCUUCCUCAACAGCAGUAUCAAAUCCAAAGGAUUUAUCUAUUACAGCAAUAUCAUUAUCAAUGGUCUUGGGGAUCCCAGCCACUGCCACUUGAAGACCACGUUUCUCUACUUCCUCGUAAAUUUGACCUGCUCCCUUCUGGGUGCCAUCACCUCCUAUAAUAUAGACCUGAUUUAUUCCCCUGUCCUGAAUGUUAUCAACUAUUUUGUUGGUAUCAUGACCUCCUCGAGAGGUGCAAAGAAAGGUGCCACCACGCUUGUGGAUAUCAUUCACAACUUUAGGAGUCAAUGUCACGGUGUUUUUUGAGUAGAAACCCCUAUACCCGCCCUGGAAGUCUCAUCAGCGACAAAUAGAAGAAGGAAGAUAAGUUGAGGAGUCAAAAAACAAGACCCUGACUCCCUAUAAAAGUAAAGGAGACUACCUGAAUGCCAAGUAUAUCAUUGACACCAUACAUAUAGUUCAAUCCGCAAACAAUCUCCCGGAUGACAGUAUUGAUCCCAGGACACAAGCCCCCACAAGUCACAAUGCAAGCACGCACUUCUUCAGGCGUAAAAUAGACCUUCUCUCGAGGCCCUGCACGCCUAAAAUGCACUCCUCUAGAGCUAUCUUUCCGGACAACAAUCUUCUGCGCAACCGCAUCUUCGGGUAUAACGAAAUUUUGCUUGACAAUAGCAUAAGCUUGGCUGUUCUGCAAUGGAUUCGGGUAGGAAGGUAAAUCAGGAAGGAAAUCUGUCAAGUGAGGAACAUCUU